This 497-nucleotide ribosomal RNA is filed under the name uncultured bacterium. RNAcentral's name for it is "partial 16S ribosomal RNA". It matches the Rfam family "Bacterial small subunit ribosomal RNA", at positions 28 to 507 of the family's 1533-position model. The record is from RNAcentral.
GAUGAACGCUGGCGGCGUGCCUAAUACAUGCAAGUCGAGCGAACGGACGAGAAGCUUGCUUCUCUGAUGUUAGCGGCGGACGGGAGAGUAACACGUGGAUACCCUACCUAUAAGACUGGGAUAACUUCGGGAAACCGGAGCUAAUACCGGAUAAUAUUUUGAACCGCAUGGUUCAAAAGUGAAAGACGGUCUUGCUGUCACUUCUAGAUGGAUCCGCGCUGCAUUAGCUAGUUGGUAAGGUAACGGCUUACCAAGGCAACGAUGCAUAGCCGACCUGAGAGGGUGAUAGGCCACACUGGAACUGAGACACGGUCCAGACUCCUACGGGAGGCAGCAGUAGGGAAUCGUCCGCAAUGGGCGAAAGCCUGACGGAGCAACGCCGCGUGAGUGAUGAAGGUCUUCGGAGCGUAAAACUCUGUUAUUAGGGAAGAACAUAUGUGUAAGUAACUGUGCACAUCUUGACGGUACCUAAUCAGAAAGCCACGGCUAACUACGUG